UACGAAGGGGGCUAGCGUUGUUCGGAAUUACUGGGCGUAAAGCGUGCGCAGGCGGUUCUAUAAGACAGAUGUGAAAUCCCCGGGCUCAACCUGGGAACUGCAUUUGUGACUGUAGAGCUGGAGUGCGGCAGAGGGGGAUGGAAUUCCGCGUGUAGCAGUGAAAUGCGUAGAUAUGCGGAGGAACACCGAUGGCGAAGGCAAUCCCCUGGGCCUGCACUGACGCUCAUGCACGAAAGCGUGGGGAGCAAACAGG
RNAcentral lists this ribosomal RNA (253 nucleotides) under uncultured bacterium. RNAcentral describes it as "partial 16S ribosomal RNA". It matches the Rfam family "Bacterial small subunit ribosomal RNA", at positions 524 to 776 of the family's 1533-position model. The record is from RNAcentral.